CCUACGGGGGGCAGCAGUCGAGGAUCUUUACCAAUGCCCGAAAGGGUGAGUAUGCGACGCCGCGUGUAGGAUGAAGGCCUUCGGGUCGUAAACUACUGUCAGAAGUAAGGAAAAGCUGUGUGCUAAUACCACAUAGCCUUGACGUUAACUUCAGAGGAAGCCACAGCUAACUUCGUGCCAGCAGCCGCGGU
This 191-nucleotide ribosomal RNA is filed under the name uncultured bacterium. RNAcentral describes it as "partial 16S ribosomal RNA". It matches the Rfam family "Bacterial small subunit ribosomal RNA", at positions 338 to 521 of the family's 1533-position model. The record is from RNAcentral.